Molecule: long non-coding RNA, 205 nt
Filed under: Gallus gallus (chicken)
Lineage: Eukaryota; Metazoa; Chordata; Aves; Galliformes; Phasianidae
Description: long non-coding RNA NONGGAT004588
Source: RNAcentral
CAGGGCCCAAACAAAGCAAGGAUCAGUGAGAAAGCCACAGUUUAAAAGCAAUUCUAAAUGAAAAGGAGGGACAACUCUCAAUUCUAGCUCUAGGGGAGUGACAGCUUUCAAGUAAGACUGCCAGCAAACACUACCUUCCUUCACAGCAAUGCCAUAAAAUGAAUGAGAGCCACAUACACACCUGGCUAUGAAUCAUCUAUCUGCA